Mercurialis annua (annual mercury) is the source of this 427-nucleotide long non-coding RNA. RefSeq lists it as uncharacterized. The transcript is spliced from 3 exons. The record is from RefSeq and is a predicted model, not a curated record. NCBI's taxonomy places the organism in Eukaryota, Viridiplantae, Streptophyta, Magnoliopsida, Malpighiales, Euphorbiaceae.
AACUCUCAAAUUCGUUCUCCCUUUUCCUUUGGUGAUUAACAUAUGCAAAAAUUUCAAUCCUCCAUAACUUUCUCGUUUCUCUACGGAAUUGGACGAUUCUUGCGGCCACGGAACGAGGAGAAGGAGAGCUACUGAUCUAGCCCUAUUAUUCAAGGAGUUUAUUAUAAGCUUCCAUGGGAGAAUUUUGAUGGUGAUUUUGGAGCAUGAAGGCUUCGGCAUGAGGAUAUCAUUCAAGACUCAAAGAUGCGACUAUCGAUAAGGCUCGAGGCGAACGGAUCAAAAUAUCGUCAAGCUUAUUUUAAGAAUUUAGAUAGCAAGUGGUGAGUACACUUUAAAUUACUCGUCAAUAUUCAUAAAGCCGCGUAUUUUCAUACGAAAGGCUAUAUGAAUAUUUAUAUAUUUGAAAUGUAUGAUAUAAAAUGUAUUA